GCGGGAGUAGCACAAUGGUAGUGCCUCAGCCUUCCAAGUUGGUCAUGCGGGUUCGAUUCCCGUCUCCCGCU
This 71-nucleotide transfer RNA is filed under the name Candidatus Endomicrobiellum basalitermitum. RNAcentral describes it as "tRNA-Gly". It matches the Rfam family "tRNA". From Rfam's summary of the family: Transfer RNA (tRNA) molecules are approximately 80 nucleotides in length. Their secondary structure includes four short double-helical elements and three loops (D, anti-codon, and T loops). Lineage: Bacteria; Pseudomonadati; Elusimicrobiota; Endomicrobiia; Endomicrobiales; Endomicrobiaceae. The record is from RNAcentral.